ACUCCAGGCAGGAGAGGUCCCUCUUCUUUCUUAUCUUGUAGCACUUUAUGUUAAGUAUAUGAAGAUGGAAGAAAUAUAAGCAAGCAGCUCUUGAGCUUUAGAGCUCUGGCUCUGGCUUUCCUGCUCUGAUGAUGCUCUUUUGGUGAUGACUGGCUCCAUGCCCUGUACUUUAUUGGGGAAUUAACUCACUCACCUCACAAAAGACUACAUUGACUAAAUGAACCCCUCCGCUGGUGGCCUACAGCAGACACUAGUGUCGGGGGCGGAGACGGGUGGAGAAUCCCCGCAGUCCCUGGCCUGACUCUCCCGACAACACAGAAGAUUGUGGAAGAAUCAGACAGAGAUCGAAGUUGUACUUUUAUUCAGCAAGCAUGCAAGAGUACAGCUGCCUUUUCUCAGCGAGACAGGCACCAGUCAUUCAAUGAUGUCCACUCACAUUGAGGGUGGACCUUUCUGUCAGUCUGCAGCCUACCAACUCACAUGUUAAUGUCCUCUGGAAACUCUCACAGACUGCUGUGGUGUGGACAUCCCCUCCAAAACUCACAUG
RNAcentral lists this long non-coding RNA (547 nucleotides) under Heterocephalus glaber (naked mole-rat). RNAcentral describes it as "lncRNA (ENSHGLG00100028429.2)". The record is from RNAcentral. Lineage: Eukaryota; Metazoa; Chordata; Mammalia; Rodentia; Bathyergidae.